Molecule: ribosomal RNA, 496 nt
Filed under: uncultured bacterium
Lineage: Bacteria
Description: partial 16S ribosomal RNA
Rfam family: Bacterial small subunit ribosomal RNA
Source: RNAcentral
GAUGAACGCUGGCGGCGUGCCUAAUACAUGCAAGUCGAGCGAACGGACGAGAAGCUUGCUUCUCUGAUGUUAGCGGCGGACGGGUGAGUAACACGUGGAUAACCUACCUAUAAGACUGGGAUAACUUCGGGAAACCGUAGCUAAUACCGGAUAAUAUUUUGAACCGCAUGGUUCAAAAGUGAAAGACGGUCUUGCUGUCACUUAUAGAUGGAUCCGCGCUGCAUUAGCUAGUUGGUAAGGUAACGGCUUACCAAGGCAACGAUGCAUAGCCGACCUGAGAGGGUGAUCGGCCACACUGGAACUGAGACACGGUCCAGACUCCUACGGGAGGCAGCAGUAGGGAAUCUUCCGCAAUGGGCGAAAGCCUGACGGAGCAACGCCGCGUGAGUGAUGAAGGUCUUCGGAUCGUAAAACUCUGUUAUUAGGGAAGAACAUAUGUGUAAGUAACUGUGCACAUCUUGACGGUACCUAACAGAAAGCCACGGCUAACUACGUG